UCUACGGGCGGCUGCAGUGGGGGAUAUUGCACAAUGGGGGAAACCCUGAUGCAGCGACGCCGCGUGGGUGAAGAAGCGCCUCGGCGCGUAAAGCCCUGUCAGCAGGGAAGAAAAUGACGGUACCUGAAGAAGAAGCCCCGGCUCACUACGUGCCAGCAGCCGCGGUACGACGGAGGGGGCAAGCGGUAUCCGGUUUUACUGGUGGUAAAGGGGGCGCAGACGGCGAUGCAAGACCGGAGUGAAAGCCCGGGGCCCAACCCCGGGACUGCUCUUGGAACUGCGUGGCUAGAGUGCAGGAGGGGCAGGCGGAAUUCCUGGUGUAGCGGUGAAAUGCGUAGAUAUCAGGAGGAACACCGGUGGCGAAGGCGGCCUGCUGGACUGCAACUGACGUUGAGGCCCGAAAGCGUGGGGAGCAAACAGGAUUAGAUACCCGUGUAGUC
Molecule: ribosomal RNA, 440 nt
Filed under: uncultured bacterium
Lineage: Bacteria
Description: partial 16S ribosomal RNA
Rfam family: Bacterial small subunit ribosomal RNA
Source: RNAcentral